RNAcentral lists this ribosomal RNA (253 nucleotides) under uncultured bacterium. RNAcentral describes it as "partial 16S ribosomal RNA". It matches the Rfam family "Bacterial small subunit ribosomal RNA", at positions 524 to 776 of the family's 1533-position model. The record is from RNAcentral.
UACGGGGGGAGCAAGCGUUGUUCGGAUUUACUGGGCGUAAAGGGUGCGUAGGUGGCGGGGUAAGUCUGGUGUGAAAUCUCGGGGCUUAACUCCGAAACUGCAUUCGAUACUGCCGUGCUUGAGGACUGGAGAGGAGACUGGAAUUUACGGUGUAGCGGUGAAAUGCGUAGAUAUCGUAAGGAAGACCAGUGGCGAAGGCGGGUCUCUGGACAGUUCCUGACGCUGAGGCACGAAGGUCAGGGGAGCAAACGGG